Molecule: non-coding RNA, 6582 nt
Organism: Sus scrofa (pig)
Lineage: Eukaryota; Metazoa; Chordata; Mammalia; Artiodactyla; Suidae
Source: RefSeq, a predicted model, not a curated record
UCCUCAUGGAUACUAUCUGGGUUUGCUACUGCUGAGCCACAAUGGGAACUCCCAAACUGUCAGUUUUAAGUGAUGUCCAAGAAGAAAAGAGGAAACAGGAAAUUGAGGGGAAAUGUGGACCGGUGUCAAAUCAAUGUUCUAACCACCCAUGUCCAGUAGUUCCAUCAGAGAAAGGACAACACCCUACAAAGUGGAAUUUGCCUGGUAUUGACCAUCAGUGAAGUAAACCCAAGUUCACAGCCAUCAGGAGGAGCCCACAGAGCUGAGAAAGGACUGCAAGGGAGACAUCCACAAACACUCUGAAUCUUUGGGAUAAGAUGAUCCUGAGCCUAAAUUCCUGGUCUUCUAAGUAGAAAAAGGAAACUAUCAGGAUGGUGGUACCUGGGAGGAUGAAAUAAGGCCAAGAUGCAAAAUGAGUGGCUAAAUGGUGAGAACAGGGUGAGCCUCAGAAGAUGAGGGAAGAAUAAUACAGCUGAAAACAACUUCCUGUGGUUGAGCUGUGGUGUAGUUUGCAGACGAGGCACGGAUCUGGCAUUGCUGUGGCUGCGAUGUAGGCUGGCAGCAGCAGCUCCUAUUCGACCCCUAGCCUGGGGACUUCUAUAUGCUGCAGGAGUGGCUGUUAAAAAAAAAAAAAAAAAAAAAGUUGAAAAGAUGAUGGUUGCCCUGAUCUGAGGAAGGAGGGCAACUUCUAAGAGCUGGAAAAGGCAGGAAACAGCUUCUUCUCAAGAGUUUUGAGAAAGGAAUGCCACCUUGCCAACAUCUUGAUUUUAGCCCAUUGAGAAAGGGGUCAGACUUCUAACCUCUUGGACUGUGAGGUAACAAAUCUGUGUUGUUUCAAGCUGCUAAAUUGGUGGUAAUUUGCUACCAUAUCCAUAGAAAGCAAAUAACUGUAGACUUGGUCAACCCCCAGUGCGUGCUGACCGUGGUGGAAGAUGCAAAGGAUGCAUUGUGGGUAAGCAGCGCUUCUGGUUGGCUAUUCUCAAUGCAGAAGGACUGAGUGACAGACCCUCCAAGAUGUCCCAGGGAAAAGGUCAUUGUAACUCCCCACCCAUGAGAGCCCCAGACGGUGGGGCUCUCUGGGACAAAUGCUCAAGUCCUAAACUGUUCCAGAGGUUAAAAACUGCCACUCUAGAAGCCCGAUUCAGCAAUCUGACUCUGUCCCUUGUAUAGAGAAUUUUUAAAAAAUUUGAAUUCGUGGCCAACAUUUAAAGAUUCCACCUAAGCAUCAAGAUUUCUGAAUUUUCUUGGGAAAAAAAAAAUCAGAAAAUAUUGCCAUACUUGGUUCUCACGGGAGUAGAGGUGUGGCUGUCCCUUUAGAUCGAGCAUGCUCACUCACACUGCUGUCUCCAUCCCUGUCACUGGACUGUCACUUACCCUCUCUGUGUAACCCUAUCACUUAGCCCUGUGGGCACCAGUGUGUAACUCCUGGUACUCUGCCCAUGUACAAUACACACUUCAGAACUGGCCUAACCAGGGAAAGCUCAUAAGGGUAUCAAGCCGGUUUCAGUACUUUAUCAUGUAUGAUAGCAAAGAAUGCCUAUGUUGAUUUCAGCAGAAAAAAAAUCUCGAAGGUGAAACAGUUUGGUUCAUUUCUCCACUCCUUCCAAAUUCUUAGCCUAAGCAGUACCAAGAAAUACCAGCAUUUGGUGCCUGAUAAGGUAUUUUCAGGCCUAAUUAUGUCUUUGAUUCUGCUCAGCCAAAGUUUGGCUUCUUUAAGCAUUUCUAUAAAUCUGACUUCCACAGAUAAGCAGGGAAUUUUCAAAAGGAUAUAAAUCAAUCUGGGGCCCUUUCAAGAUGGUGGAUGAUGCACUCAAACAGAAUGUCAAACGGUUGGACAGCAUUUUCCUGUGUGCACGGCCAAGGUUGAGAGAAAUCCCUGGGCACUUUCAGGAGAUUAAAAACACGCAAGCUCUGACAUCAGCUGCAACAUGACCUGCUCUUGCAAAAUGCACUCAGGAAUCCUGACGCGUUAAUUGUUAUGUUUGGCUUUAUGACCGACGUAUCUUUUUACUCAUAUCUGAAUGCCGAUGGUUACAGCCCCAAAUUUUCUGAAAAGUGAUAUCUUACAAGCUCACACUUGCAAUGGCUCCAAACAGUGAUGGAAGGUCAUAGAUACAGGACCAAGAGAGACAGUGAGCUCUAUGAAGACGAGACUUUGUCUGGAUUAAAGAUCAGUUCACUUCUGAGUUCCCGGAGUUUAUCACGACCUGCCUAAAGAUGGCCUUGGUUGACUGAAUGAAUGAAGCCAAACUAGGUGCUCUUGCAAAUCCUGUUCCUCAUACUCUGUCUUGGUGGCAAGUGGGUUCAAUAGAUGACUUCCUGCGGUGAGAGGCUAAGAGAGUGGGAGGAAUGUCAUUUUUCAGUCGACAGAAAUAAGAGAGACCGCCCUGGCUGCCAUGUUGAGACUAGCUUGCCAUGGAUAAGAGAAGAAUCAAGAAGACCAGGUAAGAAGCAAUCGAGGUGCUUCUGGUGUGAGGUGCUUCUGGUGUAAAGUGCUUAGCUGGGGUGGCAGCAGAGAAAGGGGUGGGAGUGGUCAGCCUGAGUCCACUCUGGCACAUGGCACUGACGGAGCUUGCUGAUGGUGGGAGGUGGGUGUGAGGGGAAGAGAGGAGACAAAGAUGAAGUCAUCCAAGGACUAGUGGGCUGAGCAAUGGGAAGGGUGGAGUUGCCAUCCACUGAGUUUGUAUUUCUCUGUUUCUGGAACUCAGUGGUAAACUUCUGGCAGACAGGAACCAGCGUCUUGUGUAUUCUGUAACCUUCAUACAAACAUGAUCAAAAUUAUGCUAAAUGUAAAAUGAAGUUUAAAGUUCCCCUUAUAGGGUCUUUUCUGGCCCACAGAGGGGUCUCAACGUUGACCUUGGGGCCAGCCAACCAAUGAUCGCUCUCCUUUCCAUGCUGUGUGGAACCCACUUGCUCCUCUGGUGGUGACUUUUGGAUGGCCACGGGGGUAGGUUUCUGCCUAUCUAGUCAAACUAUUAUUUAACCCUUCAUAUGGGUCCAGGUACUUUCCUGAACAGGAGAAUUUCUAGAGAGAGGGAUGGAGGCGGAGGGUGGGAAAUCAGCUCUCAUCCCCUUUAACCAUCUUGUUCUCUUCUUGCUGCAAGACUCCAACAAGGUGAACUUAACCCAGAGGAUACAAGGAAAACAUUUUUGAAGCUUUUUAUAGGGCCGGUUCAGUAAUGUAAAUGUCUGCUUCUGUCCAGGGAUAAACAAUAGGGAGUAAUUGGUACCGAUGCAGCAAACCAGAGUCCCAGGCAAUUGCUGCUGUGUAGAACUGGAGGUGCAAUAAACCAGGCAUGUGUGUGAGCCUAUUGCAGCCCAGGAACCCCUCCUUCCCCAGCCCUGGCCUGAGCAUCAGAGAAGUCCCUUUAAGACCUUCCCUUUCUUCUCAUUGUCCUGUUCUUCCCAGAGUCCUCUCUUGGAUCCAUUCAUUGUUGGUGCUCCUUAUGCACCAUCCUGCAUUAUUUCCACAUUCUUACACCCCCUUAAGAAGUACCUGGGUCCUAGAUACUUUCAAGCCUCUAUGUCUUGCCAACUGUUUCUGUAAGUGCUGCAGGUGUUUGUCUAUUGCUAUCAAGUGCAUACCGUAAGUUAAAGAUACUUUAUUGCUACAAAAUGUUAACCAUCAUCUGAGCCUUCAGCAAGUUACAGUAGUAAUAUCAAUGAUCGCUGAUCACAGAUCACCUUAGCAAAUAUAAUAAUAAUGAAAAAGUUUGAGAAUUACCGAAAUGUAACACAGAGACACCUAGCGAGCCACUGCUGUAGGAAAAAAUGGCACUAAUAAACUCGCUGGAUGCCACAGCGUUGCCAUAAACCUUCAAUUUAUAAAAUUCAAUAUUGUCAAAGUGUAAUAAAAUGAGGUAUGCCUGUAUUUCAACAGUGCUUCUCCUUUAGGGUCUUUCCUUGUAAAUUACUGAAACCUCUAGGGGUUCAACCCAAAGGUUCUCACUUAGAUUAUUUACAUAAAGAUGUUCAUAAUCCCAUGGAAUAACAAAUCUUUAUUACAAAAUUGAGUCUCGUGUUUAGGAAUCUUUGGAGAAGGAAGUUUAAAUACCAAGAAAGAUAUAUUAAGAAAUAAAUUGUGGGAAGAUCGAGGGAAAUUGAGGGGAAAAAAAUCCACUGAUGAGCAUAUUUCAAUAGAGCUUUGACCUACUGGUAGCUCAUCUCUGCACAGCCUCUUCCCAUAGCCCUUCCUACAUGAGCGCCUCCUCCAGGAAGUGGGGCUGUUUGUUAUCAAGCACGUCCAUGUGUUCUUUCUCAGUAAACCAAAAGAUUUCCAAUUUAUCGGAGGGAUUUCAACUCUAGCAAAAUGUUCAGUGUCCCCAAAGCUAUUCAAUACUCUUCAUUAUUCUUAUAACGAUCAGUAGAACACCCUCAUUUAUGUUUAUAUUUUUCCAAAGAUAAAAAUUGGAGCAAUUGGAGGAGGGGGAGAGAUUCAUGGAUACAAAUGGCUUGAUCUUUUCACCUGUUUCACUGGCUCUUUUUUUGAAUGUUGACUUAAUUUUAUACAUCUAGGUAUUCCCACUUCACCCAUUUUGUGGGUGCUUCAGGUGGCCCAAAUAGGAAGGGCCUAUUUAUCGAUUUUUUCUUCUGUGAAUGUGGCCACUGUCCUCUUAGCCUGUGAACAUAAGGUCUGCCGUCCUCUUGCUCUUACUGGUGGGGCAUGGGGGAGGGGUUGUACCCUGAAGAGGCAAAAAUCAUUUCAAAUCCCCUGAAGACCAAAAUAUCAAGAAUUAGAGGGCAAUGUAAUGGCUGGGAGAGGGAAGAAAGGACAGAAGCAAAUAGUUGACAGGUCUCUAAAAUUUUAAUUUUCAGCCCAAAGAAUUUCUUGAAAGGCACCUUUGAGGGGGAGGGCUCAUUGAUUUUCUUUUCUUUUUUUUUGACUUUUUAGGGCCGCACAUGUGGUAUAUGGAAGUUCCCAGACUAGGGGUGGAAUCAGAACUGUAGCUGCUUGCCUACAACCACAGUCAAGCAAUGCCAGAUCCAAACUGUGUCUGUGACCUACACGGCAAUUCACAGCAACACUGGAUCCUUAACCCACUGAGCGAGGCCAGGGAUCGAACCCAUAUCCUCAUGGAUCCUAGUUGGCUUCAUUACUGCUGAGCUUCAAAGGACACUCUCACUGAUUUUUUAAAAAUUUCCGUAGUUUCUUUCCAAGUCCUGCUUCUGUGACUGCUGCUGGAUGUCAACUCACAAGCGCAAAAGAGGUCACCAAGGUUCCCAAGGCUUUUCAGAGAACAAAAGGGAACCUGCUUCACACUGAUAAAUGACUUGCCUUAGCACCUGUAAGUCUGUUUCACAUUUCACGUCAACCUUUCUUCAUGGGCUGAUAACAGCAACUGAAAAUGAAUCCUGACAGCCUGUUGUGAUUUCACAGUAUCCAGCAGGAAAGCCCAGCUUAAUUGUGAGCAUAUGAUUUUUUUUCUUUCAAGCACUGAAUUUUCUAUUGAGUCCACUGCUCUGAUAAAAUCUACUUAUUUAGCAGUUGCUAAUCAUUGGGGCAUUCAUUCUUUUUCUCCCAUGAUUCUAGCAAGUUGGAGUUUGCUUUCUAACAAGCCACUGAACUGCUCCAAGAAAAAAAAAAAAAGCUGUUGGAAUACCAAACAAAGGCCCCUGUGCUGCAGUCUUGCAGGAAGGCAAUUCCAGUGGUGUCUAGUUUCAGGCCAGAAUACGAAGGUCAUAAUUUCAGGCCAUCGAUGGCUCUCCCAGAUGUCUUUGGUCAAGUUAAUCACAGUUUGCCUGAAGGUUGAGUUUUCAGGUAAUCCAUCCUGGUGUAAUUGUAAACCAAGAGCUCCUUCUAGCUGAAAGUUGGGAGUUUUUAGCUCAGCCUCAGCCUGGGGACAGUUCCCACAGGGCCCCUAGCCUCUAUCUUUUUAGUUUUGCCACUGAAGCUGGUUCAGACUCUGGCACAAAUGUUGGAAGAAACUCAAGAAGUUACAUAUCAAGGGAGCACGUGAAUAUACCAUGUCAGCAGGAACAGACCCAAAGUUCUGAGGGCUCAGUGAGACUUAGCCCUGCCUUGGUCUCUCUACAACCCAAGGUGUUCAUCCUAAAUGAUACAGAAUGGACGCCCCCAGGAGAGUCCUCAGCCAACCCCACCAGGGAGCCCGCUGACUGCUCUUGUUGCUGAAGAUGAAAAGGCACAUCUUGUUCCCUUGGGCUUUCCUUCCUCCCCCUCCCCCCACAGCCCUUCUUAAGACAGUGUCAUUUUUAUCCAGCCUGAAGUUAAUCUUUUCCUUGAUUCACAUUUAAUUCCUAUUUAGAUGAGAAAACCUGACAUUGAAGAAAUAAACUCUACUCUACCCUGGAGUGUUUCUGUCCUUAUUGCUCAAAAUGCUACUCAUUGGAAUCUGAUAAAAUAUAUACAAAAAUGUUAUUCACAUGCACAAAUACAAACAUACCUUUUAUUGUAUGUUCAGGAUACACAUCAUUUCAUAAAUCAUGUGCUAUUACUAUCCUUUUUUUAACAGUUGAGGAAAUAUUAAGUUUAAAUAAAACAUUGUCUAAACCACCUAGGUGACCAUCAACAGAUGCAUGGAUAAAGAAGAUGCAUAUACUAUUCACAAUAGCCAAGACAUGGAA